CACAAAUCCGGGCGAGCAGCGCUGGUAAGACGUGGGGGGGUGGGUUUGUCCGGAAUUCCUGUGGGUAAAAGGCUGGUAGGGUGUUUGUUGCGUUGUUCGUGAAAACGUACAGCUUAACUGGGGGCGGGCGGGCGAUACGGGCAGACUAGAGUACUGCAGGGGAGACUGGAAUUCCUGGUGUAGCGGUGGAAUGCGCAGAUAUCAGGAGGAACACCGGUGGCGAAGGCGGGUCUCUGGGCAGUAACUGACGCUGAGGAGCGAAAGCGUGGGGAGCGAACAGGAUUAGAUACCCUUGUAUUC
RNAcentral lists this ribosomal RNA (300 nucleotides) under uncultured Methanosarcina sp. RNAcentral describes it as "bacterial SSU rRNA". It matches the Rfam family "Bacterial small subunit ribosomal RNA", at positions 495 to 795 of the family's 1533-position model. The record is from RNAcentral. Lineage: Archaea; Methanobacteriati; Methanobacteriota; Methanomicrobia; Methanosarcinales; Methanosarcinaceae.